GGGGAACCAGGACUUUUACUUUGAAAAAAUUAGAGUGUUCAAAGCAGGCCUUUGCUCGAAUACAUUAGCAUGGAAUAAUGGAAUAGGACGGCGCUCCUAUUUUGUUGGUUUCUAGGAGAGCCGUAAUGAUUAAUAGGGACAGUUGGGGGCAUCCGUAUUCAGUUGUCAGAGGUGAAAUUCUUGGAUUUACUGAAGACGAACUACUGCGAAAGCAUUUGCCAAAGAUGUUUUCAUUAAUCAGUGAACGAAAGUUAGGGGAUCGGAGACGAUCAGAUACCGUCGUAGUCUUAACCAUAAACCAUGCCGACUAGGGAUCGGGCGAUGUUAGUUUAUUGACUCGCUCGGCACCUUUCGAGAAAUCAAAGUGUUUGGGUUCUGGGGGGAGUAUGGUCGCAAGGCUGAAACUUAAAGAAAUUGACGGAAGGGCACCACCAGGAGUGGAGCCUGCGGCUUAAUUUGACUCAACACGGGGAAACUCACCAGGUCCAGAUACACGUAGGAUUGACAGAUUGAGAGCUCUUUCUUGAUUGUGUAGUUGGUGGUGCAUGGCCGUUCUUAGUUGGUGGAGUGAUUUGUCUGCUUAAUUGCGAUAACGAACGAGACCU
Molecule: ribosomal RNA, 605 nt
Filed under: uncultured Chaetothyriomycetidae
Lineage: Eukaryota; Fungi; Ascomycota; Eurotiomycetes
Description: SSU rRNA
Rfam family: Eukaryotic small subunit ribosomal RNA
Source: RNAcentral